CAAGACCAAAACCUAGUCAUCUACCAGAGAGCUGGAGGAGCACUGCCCUAGAGCUCUGGUGCGAACAGCUUGCUCUCUGUUACCAGCUCUGUGGCAAAGAGGAGACGUGCUCAGAAAUCACUUAGGCAUAAAGGAAGCAAGAAAGAAGUUACAAAAACAUCAAGAAAGUUGGUCUAGGGGCAAGGAAUGCUGAAGACAGUGAUGAGAUCACUGUCACAUAAAGCCGGAUGGUCAGAUACAGCAGGUCAUGAUCUCGCAGUUCGUGGGUUUGAGCCCCAACGUCCAAUUCUGCGCUGGCAUCACGGAACCAGUGAAAAAGAAGAUAGCAGAUCGCAUAUUGCAAAAACCACUCAAGAUGGUUCAAGAAGAUACUGAAACCUGGAAAAGUUCUCAGCACUUUAUACAAAUAAAGUUUCAUUAAUCUCUUA
Molecule: long non-coding RNA, 428 nt
Organism: Leopardus geoffroyi (Geoffroy's cat)
Lineage: Eukaryota; Metazoa; Chordata; Mammalia; Carnivora; Felidae
Exons: 4
Source: RefSeq, a predicted model, not a curated record